UCUUCCCUCUUCCCUCCUGCUUAACACAUGCAAGUCGAUGGGGAAGUGGUGCUUGCACCAUGGCAACCAUGGCGGACGGGUGAGUAACGCGUAAGGGACUUACCUGCAGGACUGGGAUAACAGGGGGAAACUCCUGACAAGACCGGAUAAUGUCAUGGAGCUGCAUGGCUUUAUGAUGAAAGGAGACGCCUGCGGAGAGCCUUGCGUCCUAUUAGCUAGUUGGUGAGGUAAUGGCUCACCAAGGCGAAGAUAGGUAGCCGGCCUGAGAGGGUGGACGGCCACAAGGGGACUGAGAUACGGCCCUUACUCCUACGGGAGGCAGCAGUGGGGAAUAUUUGACAAUGGGGGCAACCCUGAUCCAGCAAUUCUGUGUGCACGAAGAAGGUUUUCGGAUUGUAAAGUGCUUUCAGCAGGGAAGAAGUAAGUGACGGUACCUGCAGAAGAAGCGACGGCGAAAUACGU
This 462-nucleotide ribosomal RNA is filed under the name uncultured bacterium. RNAcentral describes it as "partial 16S ribosomal RNA". It matches the Rfam family "Bacterial small subunit ribosomal RNA", at positions 39 to 506 of the family's 1533-position model. The record is from RNAcentral.